This 799-nucleotide ribosomal RNA is filed under the name uncultured bacterium. RNAcentral describes it as "bacterial SSU rRNA". It matches the Rfam family "Bacterial small subunit ribosomal RNA", at positions 28 to 898 of the family's 1533-position model. The record is from RNAcentral.
GAUGAACGCUAUCGGCAGGCUUAACACAUGCUCGAGGGGUAGUCUAGCAAUAGAUGAGACCGGCGCACGGGUGCGUAACGCGUAUGCAAUCUACCUUUUACAGAGGGAUAGCCCAGAGAAAUUUGGAUUAAUACCUCAUAGUAUAACGACUCGGCAUCGAGAUGUUAUUAAAGUUCCAACGGUAAAAGAUGAGCAUGCGUCCCAUUAGCUAGUUGGUGUGGUAACGGCACACCAAGGCAACGAUGGGUAGGGGUCCUGAGAGGAAUAUUGGUCAAUGGGCGCAAGCCUGAACCAGCCAUGCCGCGUGCAGGAUGACGGUCCUAUGGAUUGUAAACUGCUUUUGUACAGGAAGAAACACUCCCUCGUGAGGGAGCUUGACGGUACUGUAAGAAUAAGGAUCGGCUAACUCCGUGCCAGCAGCCGCGGUAAUACCGAGGAUCCAAGCGUUAUCCGGAAUCAUUGGGUUUAAAGGGUCCGUAGGCGGGUUUAUAAGUCAGUGGUGAAAGCCCAUCGCUCAACGAUGGAACGGCCAUUGAUACUGUAGAUCUUGAAUUAUUAGGAAGUAACUAGAAUAUGUAGUGUAGCGGUGAAAUGCUUAGAGAUUACAUGGAAUACCAAUUGCGAAGGCAGGUUACUACUAAUGGAUUGACGCUGAUGGACGAAAGCGUGGGUAGCGAACAGGAUUAGAUACCCUGGUAGUCCACGCCGUAAACGAUGGAUACUAGCUGUUCGGAGCAAUCUGAGUGGCUAAGCGAAAGUGAUAAGUAUCCCACCUGGGGAGUACGUUCGCAAGAAUGAA